This is a long non-coding RNA of Glossina fuscipes, 1547 nucleotides long. RefSeq lists it as uncharacterized. NCBI's taxonomy places the organism in Eukaryota, Metazoa, Arthropoda, Insecta, Diptera, Glossinidae. The transcript has 4 exons. The record is from RefSeq and is a predicted model, not a curated record.
UCAAAAAAAAAAUUAUAUUUAUAUGUAUAAUACAUCAGAACACGAACAUAAUCUUUAUAUACUUACAAAAAAUCAUCUACAUAUAUAUGUACAACGAGGUCACAGAACUAAAUAAUCUUGUUGUUUUAUACGUUUGUUUAUAUCAAAGAAAUGUAAAAUAAAUACUUAAAAAGUUCUUCUAAUGAGACGAUUAUACGCGAACGAAAUGUUAUACGCAAUUGUUACGUGUGUGUAUCGUAUGUAAUUGCAUUCUCGAAAACGACUUAAACAAUUAAAACUUCUAUUAAGUUUCCGAAAAAUAAUGGUUGAAAAAUAAAAUUAGUUGUUUGUAUCAGUAUUUAAAAAUUCCCCUGCAACAGUUACAAUUUUUAGUGCGCUAUAUAAUAACAGCCACGUUUAUUUUACACCAUUACAACCAUAUCUUCCAAAUACACAAUCACCGAUAAUAUUCGUGUGGGUCCUGUAACUGACUUGCAUCAAGAAAAAAGCAAAGAGAUUUAAAUUGUAUUUGGAUUUCGCGUUAAAACUGAGUAUAUUAAGCAUCAUAAUCAGUGUCCAAGCGUCCUAUCCAGUUUCGUGAUCCUAAAUUUAAAAUUAUUCAAUGCAUUUUUAUAAACCACAACUUCAGUGUCUCCCGUAGAGCCAAAAGCGAAGUAUAGGGUUGACUUAUGAUCUGCCCGUUCAGUAAGUAAGUUUGUGCAGCGUCCAUACCGUAAGUGUGACACAAAGUACGCUAUCAACAAUUGUAUCAGAGGUGUUACAAGAGAUGUGUGGAGUGGAUCCAAAGGAUCGUAAACAGGGAUUCGAAGAUAGAGUUUUGCCAGAAAUGUAGUAUUCUGGGCGGGAUGUGUUGAUGGAAAGCAUACAUGUUUUUCAAAUCAAAAUUUGCGAGCAUGAUAUUAAAAUCAUGCCGGUCAAUUUCAAAUUUCCCGGAUUUUCCCAUGAUUCGCAUGUGUGGAAACAAUCCAGUCAAAGCUUACCUCGGCAUGAAAGCAAUGCUUGGCUUCUCAGUAAUCGAUGAAAAAAAAAAAAAUUAAAGAGCCAAAAACUACAUCGUUCUUAUGAUGAUAGUGGAUACGCUCUGGAGCCUUAGCCCUUGGCCUUACCAAAGUUCGGCGAAUUUUCUUAAAGAAAAGUACGAAAUCCAUUGUAAUUCGAGAAGCACUAUGGAAAUAUGCAUUGAAGUAUAAAGAUCUGUAUUACAGUAUUUAGUAUUUCGAAAAUCUAACUACAAGUUUUGACCAUUUCUAUAGGUUGCUAGCGUAUUUUACAGGAAGAGCGGAAGAGGUGCUGCAGCCCAAUGGUUAUGAGAAGAUGCAAGAAGAUAAUUUGAAUACCCCCACACUGGCGACCUGCGAAGAUGACGGUGUGAUAUUUUGCGGAGACAUCUCAAUUGAAGCAAUUGGUUGAGGAAAUCAGAAGAUUGCUGGUACAAGGAUUUUAAAUAUCAUAACAAUGCCAAAAAUGUAAAUAAUUUUUGAAGUUAUAACUCGGACAAAAAUUUACAUAAAAAUGAUGUGAACACUGAACGUAUUAAUGCUUGUUUU